AUCCUUUUCUGGUUCAUAAGCAUGAUGAUUGGGUGUUCACAUGUUUGUGUAACAUGUGCCUCCUUUAAACCUUGUUAUAACUUUGGAAAAUUACCUCAUCUGAUG
Small nucleolar RNA from Suncus etruscus (white-toothed pygmy shrew), 105 nucleotides. RefSeq annotates it as small nucleolar RNA U13. NCBI's taxonomy places the organism in Eukaryota, Metazoa, Chordata, Mammalia, Eulipotyphla, Soricidae. The transcript has a single exon. The record is from RefSeq and is a predicted model, not a curated record.